GUGGGGAAUAUUGCACAAUGGGCGAAAGCCUGAUGCAGCAACGCCGCGUGAAGGAAGAAGGGUUUCGGCUCGUAAACUUCUAUCGAUGGGGAAGAAACAAAUGACGGUACCCAAAUAAGAAGCCCCGGCUAACUACGUGCCAGCAGCCGCGGUACUACGUAGGGGGCAAGCGUUAUCCGGACUUACUGGGUGUAAAGGGAGCGUAGGCGGCAUGGUAAGCCAGAUGUGAAAGCCCGAAGCUUAACUUCGAGGAUUGCAUUUGGAACUAUCAAGCUAGAGUACAGGAGAGGUAAGUGGAAUUCCUAGUGGAGCGGUGAAAUGCGUAGAUAUUAGGAAGAACACCAGUGGCGAAGGCGACUUACUGGACUGAAACUGACGCUGAGGCUCGAAAGCGUGGGGAGCGAACAGGAUUAGAAACCCGUGUAGUCC
Molecule: ribosomal RNA, 429 nt
Filed under: uncultured bacterium
Lineage: Bacteria
Description: partial 16S ribosomal RNA
Rfam family: Bacterial small subunit ribosomal RNA
Source: RNAcentral